GACGAACGCUGGCGGCGUGCUUAACACAUGCAAGUCGAACGGAAAGGCCCUGCUUUUGUGGGGUGCUCGAGUGGCGAACGGGUGAGUAACACGUGAGUAACCUGCCCUUGACUUUGGGAUAACUUCAGGAAACUGGGGCUAAUACCGGAUAGGAGCUCCUGCUGCAUGGUGGGGGUUGGAAAGUUUCGGCGGUUGGGGAUGGACUCGCGGCUUAUCAGCUUGUUGGUGUGGUAGUGGCUUACCAAGGCUUUGACGGGUAGCCGGCCUGAGAGGGUGACCGGCGACAUGGGGCCUGAGAUAGGCCGCAGAAGCGAAUGGGCGGCAGCAGUGGAGAGUAUGACGCAGUGGGCCGACGUCUGAGGUGGCAACGCCGGGAGCGUGAUACUGGCCUUCGGGGUGAAAACCGAUGUGGCAUGAGACGUAGAGGUCGUGACGGUAAUGGGUAAAGAAGCACCGGCUAACUACGUG
RNAcentral lists this ribosomal RNA (468 nucleotides) under uncultured bacterium. Its description in RNAcentral is "partial 16S ribosomal RNA". It matches the Rfam family "Bacterial small subunit ribosomal RNA", at positions 28 to 507 of the family's 1533-position model. The record is from RNAcentral.